AACGAACGCUGGCGGCAGGCUUAACACAUGCAAGUCGAACGCAUCCUUCGGGGUGAGUGGCAGACGGGUGAGUAACGCGUGGGAACGUGCCCUUCAGUUCGGGAUAACCCAGGGAAACUUGGGCUAAUACCGGAUACGUGCGAGAGCAGAAAGAUUUAUCGCUGAAGGAUCGGCCCGCGUCUGAUUAGCUAGUUGGUGGGGUAAUGGCCCACCAAGGCGACGAUCAGUAGCUGGUCUGAGAGGAUGAUCAGCCCCAUUGGGAGUGAGACACGACCCAAACUCCUACGGGAGGCAGCAGUGGGGAAUAUUGGACAAUGGGCGCAAGCCUGAUCCAGCCAUGCCGCGUGAGUGAUGAAGGCCUUAGGGUUGUAAAGCUCUUUCGUCCGGGACGAUAAUGACGGUACCGGAAGAAGAAGCCCCGGCUAACUUCGUGCCAGCCGCCGCGGUAA
This 449-nucleotide ribosomal RNA is filed under the name uncultured bacterium. RNAcentral's name for it is "partial 16S ribosomal RNA". It matches the Rfam family "Bacterial small subunit ribosomal RNA", at positions 29 to 523 of the family's 1533-position model. The record is from RNAcentral.